UUUAUGGAGAGUUUGAUCCUGGCUCAGGAUGAACGCUGGCGGCGUGCCUAACACAUGCAAGUCGAGCGGCAGCGCGAGUAGUUUACUACUUGGCGGCGAGCGGCGGACGGCUGAGUAACGCGUGGGAAUCUGCCCCAAAGUGAGGGAUAACUGCCCGAAAGGGUGGCUAAUACCGCAUAUGAUCUUCGGAUUAAAGGAUUUAUCCGCUUUGGGAGAAGCCCGCGUCGGAUUAGGUAGUUGGUGAGGUAAUGGCUCACCAAGCCGACGAUCCGUAGCUGGUCUGAGAGGAUGACCAGCCAGACUGGAACUGAGACACGGUCCAGACUCCUACGGGAGGCAGCAGUGAGGAAUCUUCCACAAUGGGCGAAAGCCUGAUGGAGCAACGCCGCGUGCAGGAUGAAGGCCUUCGGGUUGUAAACUGCUUUUAUAAGUGAGGAAUAUGACGGUAACUUAUGAAUAAGGAUCGGCUAACUACGUGCCAGCAGCCGCGGUCAUACGUAGGAUCCGAGCGUUAUCCGGAGUGACUGGGCGUAAAGAGUUGCGUAGGCGGUUUGUUAAGCGAAUAGUGAAACCUGGUGGCUCAACCAUACAGACUAUUAUUCGAACUGGCAAACUCGAGAGUGGUAGAGGUCACUGGAAUUUCUUGUGUAGGAGUGAAAUCCGUAGAUAUAAGAAGGAACACCGAUG
RNAcentral lists this ribosomal RNA (687 nucleotides) under Saccharimonas sp. (SeqCode). RNAcentral's name for it is "bacterial SSU rRNA". It matches the Rfam family "Bacterial small subunit ribosomal RNA", at positions 1 to 714 of the family's 1533-position model. Lineage: Bacteria; Candidatus Saccharimonadota; Candidatus Saccharimonadia; Saccharimonadales (SeqCode); Saccharimonadaceae (SeqCode). The record is from RNAcentral.